GACGAACGCUGGCGGCGUGCCUAACACAUGCAAGUCGAGGGGCAGCAUGGUCUUAGCUUGCUAAGGCCGAUGGCGACCGGCGCACGGGUGAGUAACACGUAUCCAACCUGCCGUCUACUCUUGGACAGCCUUCUGAAAGGAAGAUUAAUACAAGAUGGCAUCAUGAGUCCGCAUGUUCACAUGAUUAAAGGUAUUCCGGUAGACGAUGGGGAUGCGUUCCAUUAGAUAGUAGGCGGGGUAACGGCCCACCUAGUCUUCGAUGGAUAGGGGUUCUGAGAGGAAGGUCCCCCACAUUGGAACUGAGACACGGUCCAA
Molecule: ribosomal RNA, 315 nt
Filed under: uncultured bacterium
Lineage: Bacteria
Description: bacterial SSU rRNA
Rfam family: Bacterial small subunit ribosomal RNA
Source: RNAcentral